Molecule: transfer RNA, 84 nt
Filed under: Malassezia pachydermatis
Lineage: Eukaryota; Fungi; Basidiomycota; Malasseziomycetes; Malasseziales; Malasseziaceae
Rfam family: tRNA
About the family: Transfer RNA (tRNA) molecules are approximately 80 nucleotides in length. Their secondary structure includes four short double-helical elements and three loops (D, anti-codon, and T loops).
Source: Rfam by way of RNAcentral
GGGCGCGUGGUGGAGUGGUUACCACGUCCGCUUUGCAUUUCCUGUACUAGCGGUAGGUCGCGGGUUCAAAUCCCGUCGUGUCCA